Molecule: ribosomal RNA, 497 nt
Filed under: uncultured bacterium
Lineage: Bacteria
Description: partial 16S ribosomal RNA
Rfam family: Bacterial small subunit ribosomal RNA
Source: RNAcentral
ACUCAAAUGAAUAGACGGGGGCCCGCACAAGCGGCGGAGCAUGUGGCUUAAUUCGACGCAACGCGAAGAACCUUACCAAGGCUUGACAUUCACGGUAAAACUUCAGAGAUGGAGUGUCCUUCGGGGUCGUGGACAGGUGGUGCAUGGCUGUCGUCAGCUCGUGUCGUGAGAUGUUGGGUUAAGUCCCGCAACGAGCGCAACCCUCGUCCUGUGUUGCCAGCACGUUAUGGUGGGGACUCAUAGGAGACUGCCGGGGUCAACUCGGAGGAAGGUGGGGAUGACGUCAAGUCAUCAUGCCCCUUAUGUCUUGGGCUGCACACAUGCUACAAUGGCCGGUACAAAGGGCUGCGAUACCGCGAGGUGGAGCGAAUCCCAAAAAGCCGGUCUCAGUUCGGAUCGGGGUCUGCAACUCGACCCCGUGAAGUCGGAGUCGCUAGUAAUCGCAGAUCAGCAACGCUGCGGUGAAUACGUUCCCGGGCCUUGCACACACCGCCCGU